Molecule: ribosomal RNA, 240 nt
Filed under: uncultured Pseudomonadota bacterium
Lineage: Bacteria; Pseudomonadati; Pseudomonadota
Description: uncultured proteobacterium partial 16S ribosomal RNA
Rfam family: Bacterial small subunit ribosomal RNA
Source: RNAcentral
UUGGGUGUAAAGUGCGUGUAGGCGGCUUGGUAAGUCGGGUGUGAAAUCCCGGGGCCCAACCCCGGAACUGCAUUCGAAACUGCCUCGCUAGAGUCUCGGAGAGGAAGGCGGAAUUCCCGGUGUAGAGGUAAAAUUCGUAGAUAUCGGGAGGAACACCAGCGGCGAAGGCGGCCUUCUGGACGAUGACUGACGCUGAGACGCGAAAGCGUGGGGAGCAAAACAGGAUUAGAUACCCUGGUA